AACGCACAUUGCGCCCUUCGGUAUUCCGCUGGGCAUGCCUGUUCGAGCGUCAUUUGACCCUUCAAGCUCUGCUUGGUGUUGGGCGUUUGUUCCGCCUCCGCGCGUGGAUUCGCCUCAAAUUCAUUGGCAGCCGGCAAGUUGGCUUCGUGCGCAGCACAUUGCGUCACGGCUCCAGUCUGCCUCCGUCCAGUAAGGCUCCUCAUCACUUUGACCUCGGAUCAGGUAGGGAUACCCGCUGAACUUAA
This 245-nucleotide unclassified non-coding RNA is filed under the name uncultured fungus. RNAcentral describes it as "partial contains 5.8S ribosomal RNA, internal transcribed spacer 2, and large subunit ribosomal RNA". The record is from RNAcentral. Lineage: Eukaryota; Fungi.